AUUGAACGCUGGCGGCAGGCUUAACAUAUGCAAGUCGAGCGGGGUGAUGGUGCUUGCACUAUCACUUAGCGGCGGACGGGUGAGUAAUGCUUAGGAAUCUGCCUAUUAGUGGGGGACAACAUCUCGAAAGGGAUGCUAAUACCGCAUACGUCCUACGGGAGAAAGCAGGGGAUCACUUGUGACCUUGCGCUAAUAGAUGAGCCUAAGUCGGAUUAGCUAGUUGGUGGGGUAAAGGCCUACCAAGGCGACGAUCUGUAGCGGGUCUGAGAGGAUGGUCCGCCACACUGGGACUGAGACACGGCCCAGACUCCUACGGGAGGCAGCAGUGGGGAAUAUUGGACAAUGGGGGGAACCCUGAUCCAGCCAUGCCGCGUGUGUGAAGAAGGCCUUAUGGUUGUAAAGCACUUUAAGCGAGGAGGAGGCUCUUUUGGUUAAUACCCAAGAUGAGUGGACGUUACUCACAGAAUAAGCACCGGCUAACUCUGUGCCAGCCGCCGCAGUAA
Molecule: ribosomal RNA, 503 nt
Filed under: uncultured bacterium
Lineage: Bacteria
Description: partial 16S ribosomal RNA
Rfam family: Bacterial small subunit ribosomal RNA
Source: RNAcentral